UACAGAGGUCUCAACCGUUGUUCGGAUUCAUUGGGCGUAAAGGGUGCGUAGGCGGUCGGGUAAGUCGGAUGUGAAAUCUCAGGGCUCAACCCUGAAACUGCAUUCGGUACUGCCUGGCUAGGGUACUGGAGAGGAGACUGGAAUUUACGGUGUAGCAGUGAAAUGCGUAGAUAUCGUAAGGAAGACCAGUGGCGAAGGCGAGUCUCUGGACAGUUACCGACGCUGAGGCACGAAGGUCAGGGGAGCAAACGGG
This 253-nucleotide ribosomal RNA is filed under the name uncultured bacterium. RNAcentral's name for it is "partial 16S ribosomal RNA". It matches the Rfam family "Bacterial small subunit ribosomal RNA", at positions 524 to 776 of the family's 1533-position model. The record is from RNAcentral.